AUACGAAGGGUGCGAGCGCUAAUCGGAAUUACUGGGCGUAAAGCGCGCGUAGGCGGUUGGAUAAGUCGGAUGUGAAAGCCCCGGGCUCAACCUGGGAAUUGCAUUCGAAACUGUCCGGCUAGAGUAUGGUAGAGGGAAGCGGAAUUCCACAUGUAGCGGUGAAAUGCGUAGAUAUGUGGAGGAACACCAGUGGCGAAGGCGGCUUCCUGGACCAAUACUGACGCUGAGGUGCGAAAGCGUGGGGAGCAAACAGGAUUAGAAACCCCAGUAGUCC
This 274-nucleotide ribosomal RNA is filed under the name uncultured bacterium. RNAcentral's name for it is "partial 16S ribosomal RNA". It matches the Rfam family "Bacterial small subunit ribosomal RNA", at positions 523 to 796 of the family's 1533-position model. The record is from RNAcentral.